RNAcentral lists this ribosomal RNA (253 nucleotides) under uncultured bacterium. RNAcentral's name for it is "partial 16S ribosomal RNA". It matches the Rfam family "Bacterial small subunit ribosomal RNA", at positions 524 to 776 of the family's 1533-position model. The record is from RNAcentral.
UACGGGGGGGGCAAGCGUUGUUCGGAAUUACUGGGCGUAAAGGGCUCGUAGGCGGCCAACUAAGUCGGACGUGAAAUCCCUCGGCUUAACCGGGGAACUGCGUCCGAUACUGGAUGGCUUGAGAUUGGGAGAGGGAUGCGGAAUUCCAGGUGUAGCGGUGAAAUGCGUAGAUAUCUGGAGGAACACCGGUGGCGAAGGCGGCAUCCUGGUUGGAUACUGACGCUGAGACGCGAAAGCGUGGGGAGCAAACAGG